GUGAAUUUAAAGGAGUUAAUUCGUCUUACACGCGAAUGUUAUAGAACUAGUUAACACUACAAUACUAAAAUGUCCUUACACUAGUAUUAAUCGGUUAAAUUCGAAAUUACUCGUACAAAUAAUAAAUGUUAGCCGUUCGUACGAAGUUUCAUAAUUUUAUAGACAUGAAAAGUGUAAAAAAUUGUCGUGUUUCUGAGGUUAUAGUGUGUAAAAGUGCAGCGUGCAACGGAAUGCGAGCAAAAUUUACAGGGGGGCGCGAGACAGGUAUGCAAACAGAACUACAAACAAGGCGAAAUAAGAAACAGCAUAGUUAAUUCUGUGUUUGUAUUAUAUAAAGUCAUCUUGGUAUAAGCGCAGUAUUAUAAAAAGUACCCAAGUCUA
Molecule: long non-coding RNA, 381 nt
Organism: Plodia interpunctella (Indianmeal moth)
Lineage: Eukaryota; Metazoa; Arthropoda; Insecta; Lepidoptera; Pyralidae
Exons: 2
Source: RefSeq, a predicted model, not a curated record